This 92-nucleotide small nucleolar RNA is filed under the name Oryza sativa (Asian cultivated rice). The record is from RNAcentral. Lineage: Eukaryota; Viridiplantae; Streptophyta; Magnoliopsida; Poales; Poaceae.
GAUGGCAGUGAUUUGACAUUUACCCGCGCUUCUGAUUUAAACCGUGAAGUUAAGGGAAAAAAUAAUGGUUGAAUUUCUUAAUAUGAGCCUUC